UCGUAACAAGGUCUCCGUUGGUGAACCAGCGGAGGGAUCAUUAAGGAGUUGAUAACGCGGGAAACUCUCCGAACCCCUGUGAACCUACCUAUUUGCCUCGGCAGGGGCUAUGCUAAGUCCUAGGGCUUAUAGCGUAAGCUUUACCCCAAGGCCUAUGGAUAGCCCCUGCCAGAGGACCCUAAAACCUAUUUUUGAGACAUUUUAGUGGAAUAUAAAGCAUUAAAACUUUUAGCAACGGAUCUCUUGGCUCUAGCAUCGAUGAAGAACGCAGCGAAAUGCGAAAAGUAAUGCGAAUUGCAGAUUAGUGAGUCAUCGAAUCUUUGAACGCACAUUGCGCCCGCUAGCAACUAUAGCAGGCAUGCCUGUCCGAGCGUUAUCACACUACUAGACAGCAGUCUAUGUUGGAGCCUGGUAGUGGCCAGCUCUGAAAUAUAGUGGAAGUAAGCCCUCUAUAUGCUUGUAAAGUAAACUACUUGCAUUGCUUAUAGUAGGUGCUAGGUGCCGUAACCUUGGGUUUAACCUCGGAUCAGGUAGGAAUACCCGCUGAACUUAAGCAUAUCAAU
This 563-nucleotide ribosomal RNA is filed under the name Ophiocordyceps myrmecophila. Its description in RNAcentral is "eukaryotic LSU rRNA". The stretch from base 224 to 376 matches the Rfam family "5.8S ribosomal RNA". Lineage: Eukaryota; Fungi; Ascomycota; Sordariomycetes; Hypocreales; Ophiocordycipitaceae. The record is from RNAcentral.